AUUUAAAAGGACAAAUUGUUUCAAAACUAUAUUGCAAAGGAGUUAAUGUAUUCUCCGGUAUAUAUAUCAUCCGUCACAAAAUCAGAAUCUGCCAAAAGACAUUUUUGUCAUUAACCUUUUAAGCUAUGAGAAAGUAGACAUAAGAAAGUAAUCAGUUUUCAGAAACAAAGAUUAAGUGUAUAACCAUAUGUAAACUUAGUUCGAAUUUGUUUUAAAAAAGAAGUUUUCAUACCUUUCUUAGACAUAGUUGAAACAUAAACUUAACAGGAAAAGAAAAUCAACACAAUAUUAUGUGAAAUAAAACCAAUAAAUAUACAAUUGCACCCAAAGUUGAAAGUUUAACCCAUAAAUUUUUAUCCAUCAUCUUCAACAUAACUUUGGAGCAACAUUACAAAAACAUAGCAAACAAAUAUGCCUAGGAGAGAGGACAAACAGGAAAGGUUGGCUCACCGAGGCAGCAGCAGAGAAUCGGCAGCGUUCAGAGAUGCGCACAGCACCGGGGUGACCGAUGCCAACCCACAACGACGGCCAUGACACACGCAGGAAUCGCGAUCUAAUAUUGUGUCAAGUUUACCACU
This 578-nucleotide long non-coding RNA is filed under the name Trifolium pratense (red clover). Its description in RNAcentral is "long non-coding RNA (TPRA_LNC010202)". The record is from RNAcentral. Lineage: Eukaryota; Viridiplantae; Streptophyta; Magnoliopsida; Fabales; Fabaceae.